Stegostoma tigrinum is the source of this 3525-nucleotide long non-coding RNA. RefSeq lists it as uncharacterized. The record is from RefSeq and is a predicted model, not a curated record. The transcript is spliced from 2 exons. Lineage: Eukaryota; Metazoa; Chordata; Chondrichthyes; Orectolobiformes; Stegostomatidae.
GCAAAGGAGAGCUGGAGGAAUCGGACGAGGAACAGGCGCGAUAAGGGAUUGAAAGGAGAAAAUUGGAAAUCGCGUGAAUCAAUGUCAGCAGUGGAAUUGGCAGACUUGAACCUCAAACCAAACUGCGAAAGAGUAAUGCGAUUGAUGAGGAUCUGACCAUUAUCAGCAAACAAAUGUGGUAGCAUUCAAAUAUGUAAGAUAUCAGAAAAUGUAUUGAGAUACACUAAACUGUGGUUUGAUUGCACUCGAUUAGCUGUUUCCAUUUCUCGGACGUGCUGUCAGGAACGAUCUAACAGCCGUGGAGUGGAUGUAGCACAGAUUUCCCUGAUUGAUAACUUAUCCUGUAGGUUCAGAAUACGAGAAGGAACAUAUAAAAAAAAGUGCAGACCAUUCAGCCCAUGCCAACUCUUUAGAGCAAUCCAGUCAGUCCUGUCCCCUUGUUUUAUGCCUGCACCUUUGCAUAUUUCUCACAAAUACUAGUUUAUUUUUUUUUUGAAAUCAGUCAAGAUCCCAUUUCCUUUGCUGACUAAUUAAUCUAUUUUGUUACCUUCAAAUAUCUGUGCAUGUGAAUCCCUCAGACUCUGCACACUGUUUAGUGUUGUGUUAUUGCCUCUUCCUGUCCCUUCUGCUAAAACACAUCACUAUGAGAGAGGUAUCCCUGGAAAUUGAUUAAUGAGAAAUAUUUUUGAUCAAUGUUUUGUGACUGAUAGUGGAGUUACAGCGAAACUAUUUCCACUGAGAAGGGAAUUGAGGAUGAGCAGUAACAGUCUGAACACGAUGUCAGUACCAACAUAUUUUCAUGUUAAGUUUUCCCGAUUGUUAUAACUGUUUAAUUGUGCAGGGGCUGCAGAAUUCCACAUUCAAUCUGGAAGGUUGGAAAGUGUCAAAUUGAAAGAAAGCUGCUGUGCCUUCAGGUCCUGUGAGCUUCAUUAGAAUGGUGCUGUAGUUCAUCAGAGCAAACUGGUACAAAGGAUGUUGUCACAUGAGCGAGAGAGAGAUACAGAACUGGUUUAGCAUCGAAGACAGAGUGUAGUAGUGGAAAGAUGCUACACUAGUGGUGUUCCACACGAAUCAGUGCUGGGACCUCUACUGUUUGUAGUCUACGUAAAUAACUUGGAAGAAAACGUGGCUGGUCUAAUCAGUAAGUUUGCAGACAGUACAAAGAUUGGUAGAGUUGCAGAUAGUGAGAAGGAUUGUCAGAUGAUACAGCAGAGUAUAGAUCAUUUGGAGUUAUGGGCAGAAAGAUGACAGAUAUAGUUUCAUCUGGACAGGUGUGAGGUGAUGCAAUUUGGAAGGUCAAGUACAGGUGGACAUUAUAGAGUAAAUGGCAGAACUCUUAGGAAUAUUGAAAUGCAGAAGGAUCUGGGUGUGCAGGUCCACAGACGACUGAAAGUGAGAGUGCAGGUAGAUAAUUUAGUAUAAAAGGCCUUUGGCAUGCUUGCCUUCAUUGAAAGGUGCAUUGAUGAUAUGGACAGGCAAGUUAUGCUGCUGCUUUGUAGAACUCUAGUUAGGCCACACUUAGAAUAUUGCAUCCAGUUCUGGUCACCACAUGUGGAUGUGGAUGCUUUGGAGAGUGUAUAGAAAAGGUUUCCCAGGAUGUUGCAUUGUAUGGGGAAGAUUAGCAUUGAAGAAAGGUUGGAAAGACUUGGAUUGUUUAUACUGGGACACAGCAGGUUGAGAGAGUGGCCUGAGAGAAGUUUAUAUGAUUGUGAAUGACAUUGGGUACAGUGGAAUGUAUGAGAGUAUUUUUCCCAGGGCAGAGGGGUCAAUUACUGGGGAACACCAGUUCAAGCUGCAGGGGGAAUGUGUAAAAGAGAUAAGCAAGGCAAGUUUUUUCACACAAAGGUUGCUGAGUGCCUGAAAUGAUGAGAGACCAAUAAGAUACACCCACUGUGGUACUGGGUAUAGAUAAAUGUGUAACCUCACUGUGCACCAAUGAAUCCACACAGGGGAGAAACCAUUCACUUGCUUCAAGUGCAGGAAGGGAUUCACCAGAUCAUUGUACCUGCUGAAACACCAGGAAGUUCAUUCUGCCAAGAGAAUGUGGGAAAUAGUAUAAGGAUUCUGGUGAAUUAGCCCCCAUGAACUUGCUCACAUUAUUGAAAUAACCCUGAACAUUCAGAUUGCAGAAAAUGCUUUAAAAGUUCUCAACAAUUGAUGAUCCGUCAAUGGGUUUACACAAGUGAGAGACUGUUCCAGUGCUUUCACUUUCAAACUGGCUUCAGGUGAUCAUUUCACCUCAUUGCAUGCCAGUGAUGUCAUACUGGAGAGAGGUCGUUUGCCUGCAUUGAAUGUGGGAAGGGAUUUACUCAAACAUCCGGCCCCUGAAACAGUUCACAAGUAACCAUAGUGGUUGCAUUUUGCUAUUAAAUGUAUUUGGCAAUGAACACAUUUUAUUGUUGUCUGUUUCUACUGAUGUUAAAUUGACUUUCCUUCAAAUUAUAGGGGUUUAUUUUCUGGAUACAAUUCAAAUAAAUUAGCUUUGUAUUUAACACAAAACUUACAUUUUGUUUUCAAAUGUCCCAUGCGCAACUUAAUUUCUUUUGGCCUUCUUGGCGAGAGGAUUCAGAUACAGGAGCAGGAAUGUCCUUCUGUAAUUCCACAGGUCUCCGUGAGACCAUAGCUGGAUUCUUGUGUGCAAUUUUGGUCUCAUUAUUCUUGUGGAAGAAUGUUUUGGCUGUGGAGGGAGUACAAUGAAGGUUGACCAGAAUGAUUCCUGGGAUGACAGGACUGACAUGUGAAGAAAGACCGGAUCAGUUAGGACUGUAUUCACUCGAGUUCAGAAGAGUGGCUUUUCAGAGAAACAGAAGAAUUCUGACAGGACUACACAGGAUAAACGCAGGAAGGCUGUUAUCAAUAAACAGGAUGUCCAGAACCAUGGGUCAAACUUUAAAGAUAUGGGCUAAAUCAUUUAGGACUGAGAUAAGAAGUAAUUUCCUCACCUCUGAAAUUAUCUGCCACAGAAAGCACUUGAAGCCAAAACAUUGAAUAUAUUUAAGAAGAUUUAGAUAUAAUUCUUGGGGUGAAAGGGAUCAGGGUAUGGAGAGAAAGCUGGAACAGAUGGAUGAUCAGUCAUGAUGGCGUUAAAUGGUGGAGCAGGCUUGAAUGACCAAACAGCCUACUUCUAUUUUCUUUGUCAAUGGUUAUUAUUUUCCCCGAUACUUUUUUCCUCUUCUGAUCAUUAUUAUGGUUCUUUCCUCCCCUUUUUGCUGCUGAACUAUUUGGUGUUUUUUUUUAAUGUUGUAAGUAUGCCUUACUGUGAAGAUUGAAAAGUAUUUGUUUAACUUUCUGGCCCUUUCCUAGCUCCUCAUUGUUAUCCUUUGCAAAGCUUAUUCUGUAAAGGGGUUGAUGUUCACAGUUCUGUCCUCUUUUUAUUUAUUGAAAUAAUGAAUCGAUCACAAUUCACAUUGUUCCUUUAUAAUAAUCUAUAAAGCCUUGUGUAGUAGCAUUGUGAGAGAGUCCUAGCCACAACAAUGUACGUCAGUUUAAUAAUGUCCAACAUUGUGAUUAAAAAAACAAAUUUCA